RNAcentral lists this ribosomal RNA (403 nucleotides) under uncultured Acidimicrobiales bacterium. RNAcentral describes it as "bacterial SSU rRNA". It matches the Rfam family "Bacterial small subunit ribosomal RNA", at positions 355 to 774 of the family's 1533-position model. The record is from RNAcentral. Lineage: Bacteria; Bacillati; Actinomycetota; Acidimicrobiia; Acidimicrobiales.
UGGGGAAUCUUGCGCAAUGGGCGAAAGCCUGACGCAGCAACGCCGCGUGCGGGACGACGGCCCUCGGGUUGUAAACCGCUUUCAGCAGGAACGAUGAUGACGGUACCUGCAGAAGAAGCUCCGGCCAACUACGUGCCAGCAGCCGCGGUAAUACGUAGGGAGCAAGCGUUGUCCGGAUUUAUUGGGCGUAAAGAGCUCGUAGGCGGUUCGGUAAGUCGGGUGUGAAAACUCUGGGCUCAACCCGGAGAGGCCACUCGAUACUGCUGUGACUUGAGUCUGGUAGGGGAGCACGGAAUUCCUGGUGUAGCGGUGAAAUGCACAGAUAUCAGGAGGAACACCGGUGGCGAAGGCGGCUCACUUGGACCGGAACUGACGCUGAGGCGCGAAAGCGUGGGAGCAAACA